CAACCUUCAAGCUCUGCUUGGUAUUGGGCGGUCACCUCUUUUGGUGCGCCUUAAAAUCAGUGGCGGUGCCAUCUGGCUUCAAGCGUAGUAAAUUCUCUCGCUCUGGAGGACUAGGUGUGGACUUGCCCAACAACCCCACAUUUUUCAAA
This 149-nucleotide unclassified non-coding RNA is filed under the name uncultured Helotiales. Its description in RNAcentral is "sequence contains ITS2". Lineage: Eukaryota; Fungi; Ascomycota; Leotiomycetes; Helotiales. The record is from RNAcentral.